RNAcentral lists this ribosomal RNA (496 nucleotides) under uncultured bacterium. Its description in RNAcentral is "partial 16S ribosomal RNA". It matches the Rfam family "Bacterial small subunit ribosomal RNA", at positions 28 to 507 of the family's 1533-position model. The record is from RNAcentral.
GAUGAACGCUGGCGGCGUGCCUAAUACAUGCAAGUCGAGCGAACAGACGAGGAGCUUGCUCCUCUGACGUUAGCGGCGGACGGGUGAGUAACACGUGGAUAACCUACCUAUAAGACUGGGAUAACUUCGGGAAACCGGAGCUAAUACCGGAUAAUAUAUUGAACCGCAUGGUUCAAUAGUGAAAGACGGUUUUGCUGUCACUUAUAGAUGGAUCCGCGCCGCAUUAGCUAGUUGGUAAGGUAACGGCUACCAAGGUAACGAUGCGUAGCCGACCUGAGAGGGUGAUCGGCCACACUGGAACUGAGACACGGUCCAGACUCCUACGGGAGGCAGCAGUAGGGAAUCUUCCGCAAUGGGCGAAAGCCUGACGGAGCAACGCCGCGUGAGUGAUGAAGGUCUUCGGAUCGUAAAACUCUGUUAUUAGGGAAGAACAAAUGUGUAAGUAACUAUGCACGUCUUGACGGUACCUAAUCAGAAAGCCACGGCUAACUACGUG